CAUUUUUAUACGCCCGUCUAUGACGGGACGUAUUAUGGUAUACCCCGCGUCCGUCUGUCCGUCCGUCCGUCUGUCCGUCCGUAUGUCUGUUAAUGUCGUACGCUACGUCAAAUAUCCUUUGACAGAUUUUCUUCAAAUUUUAACACAAUCUUAAUAUUGAUAAACCCUGAUCCCCUUUCGUUUUUGACGGAAUUCUGAAUUGUCGUUCCAGAGUUAUGGGACUUUGUUCGUCAAAAUUUCGUGAUUUCAUUGAAUGUCCUACUGUAGCUAUAUAAAAAUGUUAAAGUUGUUAUAACUUUGGUAUGCUUGGACCUAGAGUCUUGAAACUUGACAUGAAGGUUGGCCAGAACUAGUAAGUAACCACUGGACAUUUCAAGGUCAUUCAUUUGAAGGUCAAGGUCACUGUGACCUUGAAUGUAAAAAUGUUAAAGUUCUUAUUUCAUGUUAUAACUUUG
This is a long non-coding RNA of Dreissena polymorpha, 455 nucleotides long. RefSeq lists it as uncharacterized. The record is from RefSeq and is a predicted model, not a curated record. Lineage: Eukaryota; Metazoa; Mollusca; Bivalvia; Myida; Dreissenidae. The transcript has 2 exons.